CUGGUAAAAAGCGAGACGGUGCUUGAUUAUUCGCUUUUUACAGUGUGGAAUACUCAAUCCUGAUUGGUCAAUCAUGCUGAGCAGCGGCGGCUCUAAUGAGUUACGAAUUACAUACGAUUCAAUUAAAAUGGAAAACCCCAUCUGGUGGAGCCGGCAGACGCACCACUGACCCCAGAACAGUGGAAAAUAUAACACAAGUGUUUGCUGGAGAGACGGACAGCAGGAGAGUGACUGUAAAAGAGCACAGACGCGUCUACAACAGCUCAUAAACAGCAGAUGCACACGUGUGAUGAAGCUCCGGGAGGCUUUAUUAUGACAUGCUGACCUGCUGCUGGAGAUUUACAUCUGGGUCAGCAGUGACAUGAUCUGCGUUCCAUUCGGAAGGGCUCAUCCCUAUGCCCUAAUCCCUGCUGAGGGAUGAAGGGUGUAGAGGUCAAAACACUUCUCUUUUAGUGCACUAGUUGAUGACUACUAAAAGUUUAAUGAUGAACACAGUGCAGGCUAACUCUUAU
Molecule: long non-coding RNA, 512 nt
Organism: Danio aesculapii
Lineage: Eukaryota; Metazoa; Chordata; Actinopteri; Cypriniformes; Danionidae
Exons: 3
Source: RefSeq, a predicted model, not a curated record